GACUUUUAACAAUGGAUCUCUUGGCUCUCGCAUCGAUGAAGAACGCAGCGAAAUGCGAUAAGUAAUGUGAAUUGCAGAAUUCAGUGAAUCAUCGAAUCUUUGAACGCACCUUGCGCUCCUUGGUAUUCCGAGGAGCAUGCCUGUUUGAGUGUCAUUAAUAUAAUCAACCUUCUCUUGUUUUGAGAAUGGUUUGGACGUGGGGGGUUUGCUGGCCUCUCUCAAAAGGGUUCAGCUCCCCUGAAAUGCAUUAGCAGAACAACCUUUGCUCAUUGGUGUGAUAACAUCUACGCUUAUGAAUACAAGGGGGCAGUUCAGCUUUCUAACAGUCUUUGGACAAUUCAUCAUUAAUGUGACCUCAAAUCAGGUAGGACUACCCGCUGAACUUAAGCAUAUCAAUAAGCGGAGGCU
This 408-nucleotide unclassified non-coding RNA is filed under the name uncultured Cortinarius. RNAcentral's name for it is "sequence contains ITS2". The stretch from base 1 to 154 matches the Rfam family "5.8S ribosomal RNA". Lineage: Eukaryota; Fungi; Basidiomycota; Agaricomycetes; Agaricales; Cortinariaceae. The record is from RNAcentral.